This 125-nucleotide small RNA is filed under the name Marmota monax (woodchuck). Lineage: Eukaryota; Metazoa; Chordata; Mammalia; Rodentia; Sciuridae. The record is from RNAcentral.
GCCAGGUGCUGUGGCACACACCUGUAAUCCCAGCAGCUCGGGAGGCUGAGACAGGAGGAUCGUGAGUUCAAAGCCAGCCUCAGCAACAGCAAGGUGCAAAGCAACUCAGUGAGACUCUGUCUCUA